AUUGAACGCUGGCGGCGUGCCUAACACAUGCAAGUCGAGCGGUAACAGGUGUAGCAAUACAUGCUGACGAGCGGCGGACGGGUGAGUAACGCUUGGGAAUCUGCCUAUUAGUGGGGGACAACCCGGGGAAACUCGGGCUAAUACCGCAUACGCUCUACGGAGGAAAGCCGGGGACCGCAAGGCCUGGCGCUAAUAGAUGAGCCCAAGUCGGAUUAGCUAGUUGGUAGGGUAAUGGCCUACCAAGGCGACGAUCCGUAACUGGUCUGAGAGGACGACCAGUCACACCGGAACUGAGACACGGUCCGGACUCCUACGGGAGGCAGCAGUGGGGAAUAUUGGACAAUGGGCGAAAGCCUGAUCCAGCGACGCCGCGUGGGUGAAGAAGGCCUGCGGGUUGUAAAGCCCUUUCAGUGGGGAAGAAAAGCCUCGACCUAACACGUCGGGGUCUUGACGUAACCCAUAGAAGAAGCACCGGCUAACUCUGUGCCAGCAGCCGCGGUAAG
RNAcentral lists this ribosomal RNA (503 nucleotides) under uncultured bacterium. RNAcentral describes it as "bacterial SSU rRNA". It matches the Rfam family "Bacterial small subunit ribosomal RNA", at positions 29 to 524 of the family's 1533-position model. The record is from RNAcentral.